CCCAAAAUUGGCCCAAAAGAACCCCAAAAUCAGCCCCAAAAUACCCCAAAAUCCACCCUAAAAAACCCCAAAAUCGGCACCAAAAUUACCCCAAAAAACCCCCAAAAUUGCCUCAAAAUUACCCCAAAAAAUCCCCAAAAUCAGCCCCAAAAUCCACCUAAAAACCCCCAAAAUCGGCCCUAAAAUUCACCCCAAAAAUCUCCAAAAUCCCCCAAAAAUCCCUCAAAACCCCCUGAAUUACCCCAAAUUUUCCCAAAAAAAUCCCAAAAAUCCCAAAAUUCUCCAAAAAUCCUCCCGAAUUCACAAACUCCCCCCAUGAAUUCCCAAAAUGUCCCAAAAAAUAAGAAAAAAUCCCACAAAAAUUCCAAAAAAAUCCCAAAAAAAUCCCCAAAAAUCCCUAAAACUCCCCAAAUUUCCUUCCCAAAAUUCCCGAAAUUCCCGAAAUUCCCAAAAUUCCGGGAAUUCCCGAAAUUCCAGAUCAAGAACAUGUGGGCCGCCUUCCCGCCGGACGUGGCCGGGAACGUGGAUUACAAAAACAUUUGUUACGUCAUCACCCACGGCGAGGACAAGGAGGGCGAGUGAGCCCAAAAUCCCCGGAAUUCGCCCCAAAAAUCCCGGAGUCCGCGGCAGAAAAUACGGGAAUAAACGGAAAAAAAAUUGGGAUUUUACGGAAAAAAAUAUGGGAAUUUAUUGCAAAAAAUCUGGGAAUAAACGGAAAAAAAAUUGGGAUUUUUACGGUAAAAAAAUUCGGGAAUUUAUGGCAAAAAAUCCAGGAAUAAAUGCAAAAAAAUUUGGGAUUUUUCUGCAAAAAAUCCGGGAAUUCUUGGCCAAAAAGAUUGGGAAAUUCACCCCCAAAAACUCCGGGAAUUUGAGGCUUUUUUGGAAUUUUGGGAUUUUGGGAUGGAAUAUGUGGGAUUUUGGGGUGGAAUUUUGGGGUUUUCUGUUGGAAUUUGUGGGAUUUUUUGGGGUGGAAUUUUGGGGUGGAAUUUUGGGAUUUUCUGUUGGAAUUUUGGUAUUUUCCGGUGCAAUUUUGGAGUUCCGUCGGAAUUUUGGGGUUUUUGCGGAAUUUGGGGAUUUUCUCUUGAAAUUUUGGGGUUUUGGUUGGAAUUUUGGGAUUUUCCAUCAGAAUUUUGGGUUUUUUUGUUGGAAUUUGUGGGAUUUUGAGGUGGAAUUUUGA
Molecule: long non-coding RNA, 1177 nt
Filed under: Taeniopygia guttata (zebra finch)
Lineage: Eukaryota; Metazoa; Chordata; Aves; Passeriformes; Estrildidae
Description: lncRNA (ENSTGUG00000023473.1)
Source: RNAcentral